Molecule: unclassified non-coding RNA, 354 nt
Filed under: Metapochonia bulbillosa
Lineage: Eukaryota; Fungi; Ascomycota; Sordariomycetes; Hypocreales; Clavicipitaceae
Also listed under: 1 other name
Description: partial contains 5.8S ribosomal RNA, internal transcribed spacer 2, and large subunit ribosomal RNA
Rfam family: 5.8S ribosomal RNA (bases 1-133)
Source: RNAcentral
UGGUUCUGGCAUCGAUGAAGAACGCAGCGAAAUGCGAUAAGUAAUGUGAAUUGCAGAAUUCAGUGAAUCAUCGAAUCUUUGAACGCACAUUGCGCCCGCCAGUAUUCUGGCGGGCAUGCCUGUUCGAGCGUCAUUUCAACCCUCAAGCCCCAGUGGCCUGGUGUUGGGGACCGGCGACCUCGCCCGGGGGAACACCCCCGGCGCGUCCGCCGCCCCCGAAAUGAAUUGGCGGCCCCGUCGCGGCCUCCUCUGCGUAGUAGCACAACCUCGCAGCGGGAGCGCGACGCGGCCACUGCCGUAAAACGCCCAACUUUUUUUAGAGUUGACCUCGGAUCAGGUAGGAAUACCCGCUGA